UGUGCACCAGGAGCCAAAUUAAACUGAGCAAAGAAGAGGUUGUUUCCACCGCAGGGAUGGAACAGAUCGUUUUGCUCAAGUCCAGGAGAAGGAAUAAGGCCUACAAAUCCCCCGGAAUUGUGUGAAGGAUGGACUACUCCUGCUCCACUGGAACUUGUGGUCUACAGAUGUCCCCAACAAGACAAGACCUUCACAGAACAUCAGGCAAGGGAUUGUACUGGAAGUUUCACCAGCCUCUGCCAGCUAAGAGGAAUGAGGAAUCAGGACAGCAGUUGAACCUGAAGUAGUCGUGCCAUAUAAUCAGCUGAUGAAGGUGAAGGCAGCUUUUCUGUCUGGUAAGAGAGCAAACAUUGGACUCUCCAUGUCUUUGAAACCCCACCAGGUGAGUAUGAGCGCGUGGUGAGUGGGAUGGGGAUCAGAGAAGAAGAGAGAAGCUCUCUUUUGCUGUUCACAUAUAUGCCUGGGGACCCAGCUGGUAUAGAGACACAUCUUUGUAAAGGCACCUCAGUUUCUCAUCUGAUACUGUGAGACAAUGCUUCUGCACUGUUUGCUUAGCUGAGUUGUUCUUAUCCAUGGUUUCCUACAGUGGAUGGAGAGAAUACAUGGGAAGAAGAAAAUGGACUGAUCCGUUUAACAGGUGAUAUCAGUCAAGGCUUCCUGGCCAAGAAUAAUGAAGCCUAUGUGAAAUUUCAGUGCUCCUGUUGCAUUCCUGGCUUUGAACGGAGGACUGCAGAUCUGUAGCCAGUCAGCCAUUCGUCCAGGUGCAUUUGUGUAUAAGUACAGGCUAAACUUUGUGCAUCUGAAGAUACAUAGGAAACCAUAACCUUUUAGUCUUGUAGAGAAGCAGGAAAAGGAUUCUUGAAUUCAGUUCUGCCACAUUAGAUCUGAGUUUGGAACUGAGAUCUCAGCCAUGGGGAAGUACUCUCCUGGAAAUGGGAAGAAACCACUGGUGCUCCCCUCCAGCUGCCUCCACCUGCAUCUCCACCUGCAGCUGACCUCCAGGUUCUGGUGCAAGGAAGUGUUUCGUGUGAACAGUUGCAUCUUCAGAGGAGGCUCUUUCUGAUCUUUUAUCACUUGAGUACAAAACACAAGUUCUUUUCAGAUGUGAAACCUCCUUGUGUACACAUGUGGUGUGCUGUGUACCUCAUUGUGAGUGAGAUGGGUGCACAGCUAAUAGCUUCUUUCAUAGUCUAGGUGUCCAGCUUCAAUUUAUUGUUUAUUUUCCCUUAUUCUGAAUUACAUGUUAAUGCUGGCACAAUCUCUUUUUCUCUUCCCUCUCCAUCCUGAAUGUAAAUCGACUUGCCACAACCUGCCACCCUCCAGAAAUUAGAAAGCCUCAGAAGAUAAUUUGCUGCUGGUGCUGAUAGCAUCUGUUUAUUUUAAUACACCCACCAGUUAGGCCAUGCUUGCUUGCAAAUGGGGAGAAAAUGACCUUCAGUAAAAUCACAACCUUAACAUUUCUUAAAAUGCAUCUUUCUCGUCAGCCCACUGCUGGUAAUCCAGAGGUCCAUCUUUUCAGGGAAGCAAACGAGAGUUAAAGUUAACCUUCAGUGAGGCAGAGGGUAGCCUACAGCUUUUUGAGAGAAUAAGGAAAUAUAGGAACAUUCACAGUCGGAUUCUGGCUUGAAAAAAGACUAUGAACCAGAUCUUUUUAGGUUGCCUGAGUUCAUUACUUUCAUAAACAUGAAUGGUGCCUCUGCUCCUUUGCCCAGGAAUUCCCAUCUAAAAUUGAGUUGUGGUGCCCCAGAGAAGGUCUGGUUAAAGCUUUCACUCAGAAAAUCAGAUAAAUUAAGAAAACUAGAAUUUGUACUCAACAGCAAAUGAGUUCAAUCAGUUGACUAGCUGUGAUAGAAUUUGCAAUAAUGAAGCAGAAAGGACCUUCUUUGUAUCUUGCAAAUAAGCAGAGGACAAAUAUUUUCUCUGGAUAAGGAAGUAACUUUCACUUUGUUGGUAUUUGGGAAUGUGUUAACAAUCAGAUUCUAAAGUUACAUAUGCAAAUCACUAUUUGUUUUUUUAAUUUAAGUCCUAGAGUAACAAACUGAAGAUCUCCCUACAGCUUUCAUUUAUGGGGAAGUUCUAAAGACAUAGAAAAUCUAAUUUUAUAUCAAUAAUUAAAAUAAAUUCCUAUUGUCAUUAAUAAUUAAUGCA
Chrysolophus pictus (golden pheasant) is the source of this 2148-nucleotide long non-coding RNA. Lineage: Eukaryota; Metazoa; Chordata; Aves; Galliformes; Phasianidae. The record is from Ensembl.